This is a long non-coding RNA of Oncorhynchus nerka (sockeye salmon), 2762 nucleotides long. RefSeq lists it as uncharacterized. The record is from RefSeq and is a predicted model, not a curated record. The transcript is spliced from 2 exons. Lineage: Eukaryota; Metazoa; Chordata; Actinopteri; Salmoniformes; Salmonidae.
CCAACCCAACCCCAUGCACAGCCGGUAAACAUUGUAACGACAACAGUAGAGUACCACGCCACAGCUCCCUUCCUCUUAGUUGCCAUCCAUCUGCGCGCGCAAUAGCGAUCACGGAAAAACCUCUCCAUCACUUACCGAGAUCUCGGUGAUGAUGGCGUCUUCCUCGUGUCUCGAUAUCGGGUCGGUCGCUGUGUGUAGGGGUAAUUUGUGUGUGUCGCUCUCUCUCUCUUCUUCUUAUCUCCCCUGUCUCUCUCUUAAGGACGAGGUGAAAUCCGUGCUCUGGUCAUCCGGUGGCUUCACAGACAAAACCAACACGCAGCGGCAAGAACAAUAUACAAAAGGCAAGGAAGGGACAGAGGGGAGGAGAAGUCAAUUUGUUGAGUGGCACUGAGACAAAAAAAUAACUGUCACCUAUGGAGGCGGGUUAAAACUGGAGAUAGUUUAUAUAAUACUGGCCAAGGCUAUAAGUCAAACUGUAGGCUAGAACAACAGUUUUAGAUUGUCUCUGCGUGCGUUCUCAGCUAAAAGGUGUGUUUUCCUGCGCACUGUAGCCUACCUUGUUAAUGCCACAGUAUUGUGCAGAAGAGGCUAUGGGUGAUAGGCAGCAGAGCAUAGAAAAUGUGCUUCUAAUGUUGUCAAAAACUCAAAUGUUCGUUCCUGUCCAAUUCGCUUUCACGGUUCAAGAGAUGGGCCUUUUACGUCGCAAUUCUGUAACACAAGGAGCAAAGCACAACUGGGAGGAACUUUUCUAUUCCAAAGUUAGCCCAUAUGAGAGAAUUUCCCUCACUGCUCUGAGAAGUUGGAGAGAAGGGGGUGCAAAUGUGUAAAGUAACGGGAUGUCUAAAUGGAGUGACCGCAAUAAGUCAGGUUUGACACACGUUAUUAUUUAUCCUGAGCUGCACUGCACUAGCAGCUCAUCAGAGCACCGUCCGCCCUGGCUAGCCCCUAGGUGCGGCUCACCGCUGCGCAUGUGCACCAAGGCGCUGACCAAAUGUCAAGAGCAAUAAGUGGGGUUGUCAUCUCGAAUUUUCUCUGCUCCCAAUGAACUCCUCAGGAGCUGCAUCUCUCUCUCUCUCUCUCUCUCUCUCUCUCUCUCUCUUUUACCCCAGGAAUAAGCGGUCGCUUAGGGCCCCCAGCUACUAGCUGGCUGACCCCAAAAAAUAGGAUCUCAGUCGGGGGUCAAUUAGCCCAUGUCAUCUAACAUGUUUUAUAUGGGUAAAUUAAUCUACCCAGCUAUCUAAACUGGUAGUAAUCAUGGUCGAAUUAUGACCGGGCACAAAGGGCACAUGCCCAGGGGUCCCCCAUUGAUUUUGUUAGUUACUCUAGCUCAGAUAUCAUAUUAACAUGACAUAAGUCAUGGCAAAAUGGGUACAAUAACAGGAAAUUAGCUUUAAAACUGAAAAAAUGUCUCCACCCUAUGGCAAAAUGUGUAAAAUUGCAGCAAACUUUCUUUAAAACUGCAAUAUUUGUUUAUCUCCGCCAUCAAGCUAGGGGGCCCACUAAAAUGUUUUGCCCUGGAAGGCCAAACAAAAUAUUGCUUAGGCCCCGCAAAAAGCGAGGGUAUGCCCUGAGAGAACAGUCAGUUGUUUUGUUGGUGCCCAGGUGUUAUUCACCGUUGGCGCACUUCUCCCCGAUAAUGAGCCGGUGUUUCCCGCCACUCCACUGAGCGUUCUAAUUCACCUGUCACAUCUGCAGAGCCUCUUCCGUUUGCCACGCAACGGUGCCUGCCUGCUCAGAUGUCUCCAUUACACAACUGUGUGUGUGUGGGGGGGGGUUCUCCUUGCACGUUGUAUGUAGUUUAAAUAUAUAAAUAGCCUAAUAAGCUACCGCCUACACUUGUUACCACUACUUUUGGAUAGUGGGUUAAUGUCCAAAAACCUACAAAGAAGAUAACUGUUAUUGUUGAAUUGCUAUGUGUAGCCUGGGUAGACCUACCAGUCGUUUUAGCUAGCAUUCCACGGAGUUACAAGGAGUGGAAUGUUAGCUAAAAAAGACUGCUACCCAAGACUAGUGUAAGAGCACAAGGCUAUAUCUCACUUUCAAGAAAGAAUUCUGAACACACAUCAUUUUCAAUAGCUGCCUUUGAAGUUUUAUAGGCAAUUUCUUUGGACAUUGUAGUUAUGAUCUUUGGCCUUUUUCAGAUGUUUCAUGUAAUAAUUAAUUGUAGCCCACAACUGAAGAAUCCCAUUUCAUGGAACUUCUGGACUUUAUUGAAUAAAGUAAAACAGUUAUUUUAGGCCUACAUAUUGUUGUUUAAAAGAAACCCUUCUUCUCCUCCAGAUGUCUACCCCUGGCCCUUGCAGCUUCUCUUUGAUAUUGUUCAACUGACACACACACACACACGCACCACCCUGGGCAGAACAUGUUUCUCUCACAACUUUGACAUGGGGCUGUCUUUUAUCCUCCAUGUUUCCCAGCGUCUCUGUGCUCCUCCAGAUCCCCCGGGUUCCGCUGCUACCCACCCCAGCCAAAUGACACCCCGCUGGGGCUACAGCAGAGGUCUCUCCCCGAACAGACGGCUCUACAUCCACAGAGGUGUUCAUGGAAUGCAUAGGUCUAAUUGGGCUCCUGAGUGGCACAGCGGUCAAAGGCACUGCAUCUCCGUGCUUGAUGCGUCACUACAGCCACCCAGGUUCGAUUCCAGGCUGUAUCACAUCUGGCCGUGAUCGGGAGUCCUAUAGCAUCGUCCGGGGUAGACCUUCAUUGUGAAUAGGAAUUUGUUCUUAACUGACUUGCCUAGUUAAAUAAAGGUUAAAAAAAUG